This 199-nucleotide ribosomal RNA is filed under the name Phyllodactylus reissii. RNAcentral's name for it is "partial 12S ribosomal RNA". The record is from RNAcentral. Lineage: Eukaryota; Metazoa; Chordata; Lepidosauria; Squamata; Phyllodactylidae.
CCCGAUGGGCCAAUCACACACCCCAUCCGCCAGAGAACUACGAGUGAAAAACUUAAAACUCUAAGGACUUGACGGUGCCCCACACCAGCCUAGAGGAGCCUGUCCUAUAAUCGAUACUCCACGCUAAACCNNNCCCCCCCUCGUACUAAAUCAGCCUAUAUACCGCCGUCGCCAGCUUGCCUAGUGAUAGACUUAAAGC